Long non-coding RNA from Myzus persicae (green peach aphid), 3415 nucleotides. RefSeq lists it as uncharacterized. The record is from RefSeq and is a predicted model, not a curated record. The transcript is spliced from 3 exons. Lineage: Eukaryota; Metazoa; Arthropoda; Insecta; Hemiptera; Aphididae.
AAUAUAAUAUAAUUACUGUUACGUAUCAAAUAAACGUAUACAUUUCAUAAUGUAUAGUGGGGAUUGUCCUAUCAUACACGAGUACACGUCGUGCAUGUCUCGUGCAUCAGUCGAUCAGUCUAUGUCCACAGUGUCAAUAAUAUACACAUAUUUAUAAUUCAUUUUUUUUUCAUUAUUUAUAAUAACACAAUUUUACGUUCGAGUAUAUCUUAUUCAUAUAAAUAUUACAACUCAAUGAAUUGGUGACGAGGUUAUUUUCUAUUCGAACUCAAUUUCAUAGCAGUAUAUUUAAAAUGGCCGAUGGCAAAACAAGUAUCACUCAGUGUCAUCACAUAAUAGGCUCACCUGGAAAAUUUGAAUCUGGUAACGAUAUAAUAAUAUUUGAAUCGAGACUUACAAAUUUUUUUAUAGCAAAUGGAAUCACAAACGAAGUCCAGAAGAAAGCCAUAUUCUUAUAUUCAAUUUCUGAGGAAGUUCACAAAAUAUUAUUCAGCUUAUGUGUUCCACAUAGCCCGGACACUCUCACGACACACUUCUAGGUUUAUUAACUGAAUAUUACAAGCCAGUAAAAUCGUACUUCGUAUCGCGAUGUGCAUUUUACAAUGCAAAACAGCAACCAGACGAGUCUGUAGCUGAAUGGGGUGCAAGAGUAAAGAACCUCGCAUCAAAAUGUAAUUUUACAACGGAAUUGCCAAUUUGAAUCCGUGACAUUUUUGCUGUGGGUAUGAACUCAGGUCAAAUUCAAGAUCGACUACUCGAAGAAGAUGCUUCAAAAAUAAGCAUCGGGUAUUCGCAUCUCAUGGAAAUUGCCACUGCAAAAGAAUCUAUAAGUAAUAAUAAAAAUAAGGACAAUAAGGUGGAAUCGACUCGUACUCGUGUAACUUGGAAUUAGUUAAGGAUUUUCAAUAUAAAGAUCAAAAUCGACAAAAAGAAAAAAUCACAAAAAUAUUAGUCAAAGUACUCAUAAAGUAACAUUUGACGAGGGUUCUAAAUGGACUAGACACAAUAAUCACAUAUGGCCACAUAGUCAAAUAAAUUACUCAUUUUCCCCCCGAGACUAACAUUAUAGAUUCACUCAUUAAUGAUGCUACUCAAUGUCUCAAUCUAAACCAACACAUAACAUCAACCGAUAAACAAACUAUUCCUACACCCUCAAAAACUAGAAAGCCACCUCAACAUUUUACUCCUUCUAACUAUAAAUAAUAAAUAACAAAUACAGUAACAUAUUUGCCAAAAUUUUUAAUUUUGUUUUCAUAAAAAUAACAAUUUCAGUCAUCUAUUGCUUAUAACAUAUUAUACACCAUAUUCAUAUUAUUAUAUAUUUAUAUUAUUAUUAUUAUUAUUAAAGUGCGUUUUAGUAUUGUAAUCAUUAACGGAUAAUAAAUUGAAAUGUUCUCAAUUGUAUUAUAUUAAAUUAUAUUUGUUUAAUUAUUGAAUUAUUUAAUUCUAAUAAAAGUGGUGUUACGUAUCAAAUAACUUUAUGUAUAUAAUAUAUGGUGGGGGAUUGUCCUAGGUUUUUGUACGAAACAUAGCAAUCUGUGCAUACCGUUUCAAUAAUAUAUAGUAUACACAUAUUUAUAAUAACUCAAGUUAUGUUCGAGUGCCUAAUAUUCAAAUUAAAAUUACGACUCAACAAUUACUGUAACAACACAUAAUAUAAAUAUAUGUGCAUAGUACGCUACACGUAUAUUGGCGUGGUGGUUUGCCUACAAUAUUAUACUAUAGAUAAACUUAUAUAGACUUAGACUUAUCUAGAAUUUAAUUUGUAUUUGAAGUCUUCUUUGCUAGAGUAUUGUGUAUAAAAUAAUAUAUUUCUCACGCGUUUGUUGACUUAAGAGCACCAUAAACCUAACAUAUAAGGUACAUAUGCACACAUCGUGACACGUAUAUGCGUUUACAUAAGUGUUCCGCUGUAUCUACAGGUGUAGUGAUAACUGUACGAUUUGGGCGAAGUGCACAGUAAUAAUUAGUCGAGACAACAAUAAUAAUAGGUAUAUAUUGCCUGCAUAAUCAUUCAGUGACUGCGAAACACAUACGAAAUGUUCAAAUACGUCUACUUAAUCGUGUGCGUAUUGUGUCUAUUCUACGUGCUCGCUGCCGUCCACAUGCUGUUCAGCGAUUUGAUAUUGGAUCCAUUGUACGGUUAUUUGUUCGACCAAGUGGACACUGCUGCCGGCCAAACCACCAGCUAGGGUAUUUCCACCGUAAAUGUCGACGUAUUCAAAUCGUCAGCAAAACGUUCAACGGUUAUAAAGAUUGGUACAACUGCUCCCGACAGACCAAAAGCGUGACAAAAUAAAUUUGUUAUGUAGUGAUCAUAAUAAUGUAGUUACCGUUAGCGACCACGGUCCACACGACCACAUGUCCACAUCAUGUUCUGCAGCAGUGGUCCGUCACCACCAGCCGUACGGAAAUAUUAAUCGUAUAAGCCAAACUGACCGUGGACCAACUCACAUAAUUUUAAUAUCACAAGAAUUUCUAUUUAGGUGUAAUACAAUGGCAAAAUUGACUUCAGAUCCAAAAACUGUUAGUAACUAUUAAUAAACCACUUCUAAUCCAACAAACAAAUUUCAAGAAAGCAAAAAUGUUCAACUUUAGAUUGAAUGUCCUGCCAAAUAAUCUCCUCAGGACGUUCAGAAAAUGGUUUUGAAGAUUUAACAAAGACUUAAACAAGCUUAGUAUCAUUCAAAAAGAAAAAAGAACUGAUGGUUAUCAAAAAUGGUACCUUAAAUUAUGCAGUUAUCAUUAUCCAUAGGCCCAAUAUUUUUCAUAUUUAUUUUCAUUUUAAUAGUCAUUAUGCAGGCAUCCACAGCCAUAAGAUAAUAUGAAAAAAAAUGAGGACUUCAGCACCCCCACCUUUUUUAUUGAAAUUGCGCCCCUGCCGUUAUCAGGGUAUAAAAUUAUAAAAUUUGGCCCAAAAUGACUGUCGUCAGCUCUGCAUAUAAUCUAUAUUUUUUAUUUUACGUUUUCCAAAAUUAAUAAAUCCUUCAGAAUAAAUUAACAUAUAACCAUAGCUUUUAGCUUUUUAUUUUUAUGUAAUAAAUGUGAAUAUUAUUAUAAUAGUUAUUUUUAAGUUAACCAUCAACUACAUUUUAUUGUUAUAAAAUAAAAUUUCACUCGUGAGUAUACACUUUUAAUACACAAUAACCCCUAAAUUUAAUUUGAAUUCCUUGUAUUAUUUAGGGAAUAUUGUAAUAACAAAAUAGUUAUCAAACACUUGACGUUAUUUAUGUCAGAAACCAUAAAAGGUAGUUAAAAAAAAUUAUGUGUAAUAAAUAUGUAAAUAUAUUACUUAUUACUAAAUUACCUAUUACAAGGUAGACAAAUAAGUUUAAAUCAAAUUCAAAAAUGUUAUUGUUUUUUUAUUAAAUAAAAAAAAAAAAAAUAUUUUUAAACUUAUGUACCGUUUUAAUUU